GUGAAUCAUCAAAUCUUUGAACGCAAAUUGCACUCCCUGGUAUUCCGGGGAGUAUGCCUGUUUGAGGGUCGUUAGAAUAAAAAAUCGAGGUGUUGCUCUUUUUUUUAAGGGUGAUCGAGUCGGAAUUGAGCAGUUUUUGAAAUGUUAAUUCAUGGCAAAGUGGCGUGAAAUUUAUCGAUCUGGUAAGUUUAAAGGGUUUUUAAGAUUAAUUUCGAUUAAGAACGCGGGAUGACGUACA
Molecule: unclassified non-coding RNA, 238 nt
Filed under: Glomeraceae sp.
Lineage: Eukaryota; Fungi; Glomeromycota; Glomeromycetes; Glomerales; Glomeraceae
Description: partial contains 5.8S ribosomal RNA and internal transcribed spacer 2
Rfam family: 5.8S ribosomal RNA (bases 1-71)
Source: RNAcentral